GGUGCAGUGGUCUAAGACACUGCAUUUCAAUGCAGUCCCUGGUUCGAAUCCAGGCUGCAUCA
This 62-nucleotide transfer RNA is filed under the name Salmo salar (Atlantic salmon). It matches the Rfam family "tRNA". Rfam says of the family: Transfer RNA (tRNA) molecules are approximately 80 nucleotides in length. Lineage: Eukaryota; Metazoa; Chordata; Actinopteri; Salmoniformes; Salmonidae. The record is from Rfam by way of RNAcentral.